This 579-nucleotide ribosomal RNA is filed under the name Escherichia coli. RNAcentral describes it as "partial 23S ribosomal RNA". It matches the Rfam family "Bacterial large subunit ribosomal RNA", at positions 2223 to 2801 of the family's 2925-position model. The record is from RNAcentral. Lineage: Bacteria; Pseudomonadati; Pseudomonadota; Gammaproteobacteria; Enterobacterales; Enterobacteriaceae.
UAACGUUGGCCCGUUAUCCGGGUUGCGGACAGUGUCUGGUGGGUAGUUUGACUGGGGCGGUCUCCUCCUAAAGAGUAACGGAGGAGCACGAAGGUUGGCUAAUCCUGGUCGGACAUCAGGAGGUUAGUGCAAUGGCAUAAGCCAGCUUGACUGCGAGCGUGACGGCGCGAGCAGGUGCGAAAGCAGGUCAUAGUGAUCCGGUGGUUCUGAAUGGAAGGGCCAUCGCUCAACGGAUAAAAGGUACUCCGGGGAUAACAGGCUGAUACCGCCCAAGAGUUCAUAUCGACGGCGGUGUUUGGCACCUCGAUGUCGGCUCAUCACAUCCUGGGGCUGAAGUAGGUCCCAAGGGUAUGGCUGUUCGCCAUUUAAAGUGGUACGCGAGCUGGGUUUAGAACGUCGUGAGACAGUUCGGUCCCUAUCUGCCGUGGGCGCUGGAGAACUGAGGGGGGCUGCUCCUAGUACGAGAGGACCGGAGUGGACGCAUCACUGGUGUUCGGGUUGUCAUGCCAAUGGCACUGCCCGGUAGCUAAAUGCGGAAGAGAUAAGUGCUGAAAGCAUCUAAGCACGAAACUUGCCCCG